CAUUGUUAUCUUCCCUCCAUCGUAUGAGAUACGAAGUGCUGUUCUUUCACUGUCUUAAGAUGUUCAGGAACAUUUUCACAUUUUGGAACAGUUGCUCCCACCUGUUCAGAAAGGAAUGUUGAAUAAUACUGUCAGCAGAUCAACUAUGUUAAUACUUGGGAUGUUCUGAAGACUUGAUACACAGUCCUUCCAGUGGCACAUAAGACAACUGACGACAGCAGCAGCACAGUUGGGCAUGAAGGUUUUAUGCCUAUGUCUGUUCAGAAAUGCCCUUUCAGUUAUGUACUCCCAUAAACUGAAUCAGCAUAUAAAUCUGCACGCUAUGCAAUAGAUGUAUAUGUAGCGGAGGCGCUGGGAUCCAACUCAGGAUAAUGGUGAGUCGAAUUCAGUCACGUCAGAUGUUGGACUUGGGAAAGCGCCUAUUAAGGACGGCAGUGCCAGCUGGGGAAGGUCUUGCAUCUGGCUAUGUGCUCCUGUCACCAAAGCCACUCCUAAGGCUGCACCAGGGCAGCAGUUUGCAGGGUGAUUGAAUGAACCACAUAUAGCACUGGGGAGAAAUGGAAAUCUUUUUUAAGGUCACCAGUAAUAUCACAGAGACAACACCCAGGCUGUGUGAAGACUCAUGAUUUCUGAUGAUGAUAAUAUCCCAAUGGUGGUCGGAAACAUCUAUUUGGUGUGGAUGAUGAUAACUUAUGUUCUAGUGAGUCUAGUCACUCUCAAUGCUUGUCAUUGCCCAUUUGGGGUGGAAUUCUGCUCUGUAUUGCACUAGAAAUCUUUAAAAUUCUGUCUGAAUAUUUCGGUCUGUUUUCUAUCUAUUUUCUUCACUAUUCACUUAAGAAAAAAAAGUCAUCAUUAGAAAGAACCUUUUUUUUUUUUUUGGCAUUUCUUGCUCGCAUGCAAUUUCUUUUUCGCAUGCAUUUCUUGUUUGCACACAAUAGAUGGAGAACUUCAUGGAUAACUGCUUGCUGAAUAUUUCUAACAAUUUACUGUCUCAACACUUGCACAGUAGUGAAAAAUAUUAACUGUGAAGCUUCUCACCCUGUCCUUUUCUCUAUUAUUCCUCAACCUGAUUAUUUGUGCUGUCCUCUCAGAAUAUUAAUGUUACUGCAAUGAAUAUGGUGAAAGUAAGUCACAGUUCAUGAAAUCUAUUCACAGGAUUUGUUCCCAUUUCCUCACAGGUUGUUCUGAAUUAUAAUGACAGUGAAUGACAUUCCAGAUUAAUGAUGUUGAGGGAGGUUUGGGCACUUUUGAAGACAAGGGAAGUUGUCCUUCUGACCUUUAAUCGUUAGGAGUUCACUCAAAGAAUUAAAAUGAAACAUAAAAUAGAUAUUAAGGCUUGGAUAAUGACUUAUGGGAUUACUUCUAUUGAAGUCUUAUGUGCCUAGAAAAUUCCUCGGCGCUAAUAGCUUGGGGGAACAAUGUGCUUGGCACCAGUGGUAUUUUUCACUGCACUGUCUUGCUUUGUGCUCUAGAAUCUGCUCUAGUAUGUCCUUUCAUUUACUAAGAGAAUACAUACCCCAUAGACGUGCUCUUCAUAGGUAUGCACAUCCAUAUUAGCAAGAUGCUUUAAUUUUUCAGCUUUCAGUAAGCCACUAAAAGUGUUUGUCUAUCAUGUGAGUUGAAUUGUAGGAAGUAGGAGUUGCUGAUGUGCUAUUUUAAAAAUGUUUAAAGUUUUACAAAGAUGAUGUAAGAGAUACUGUGGAGAUUAGAAGAAAUUCUUUCUGAAGUUACCUUGAGGCAGUAAUUGACGGUAAGCUUGCUUCAGUAGCUUUCUGUUUGUGUUAGAGUUCAAUAAGGUAUUGUGUCAUUUCUUCAGCAGGUGUUGCAAGCAACUAAAUAGUUUGUUUUAAUAUUUUGUGUGGUUAAGCAAAUACAUUUUGAACAACUAGAUUCCGAUUGGAAUAUCAAACAGACAUCCUAUUUCCAGUACUUCCAACUGUUAAAAAUAUGUAUAACCUGAAUUCUUAAGAUACCAAUUUUAUUAUACAUGAAGCUUCUUGAUUUAAGGUAAGCUUGGAAGAUUUGAUGUUGAGCUGUUAAUUUCAGAAAGGUGUGAUUUACUUCUGCUAAUAAUGAAUACAAAAUGGCAUUUGGUUAUUUGUUUAUUAAAGAUGCGCACGUCAUUGCUGUGGUACUUCAACUCAUCCCAAGUCAUAACUUAGCCUGCAGUGAUUAAAAUGAACCUUCAAGUGGCAUCAUGUUUUGGCCAUUGUCUAGUCACACAAGGCGAUCACUGAAUUGUGUGACAAGCCACAGCUUACAUGAUGACAUCAGGCAAAAUUGCACCACGGUGUCAUAAUGUCACAGACUGAUGAACCACAAUAUAGUCACUUUGCUGUGUUGACCCUACAUUUCAUGCUUGAAAUGUAGUCACUGUUAGCUUCAGGUUGUUUUUUUUUUAAAUGACAUGUCAAAAAGAGUGUUCAUGUAGUGUACUAUGCUAUAAAGCAAUGUCCAGAUCAGUCUACCAAGUGAAAACCACCUCUACACAAUGCCCUAAAAAAGAAGGAUUUAAGAGAGAGUCGCUUCCAAGAUUAAAGUAUGUUCAACUUAUCCUGAAAUAAACAAAAAUGAGAUGAUGACUUACCACUUGGGAAGAGAGGGACAAGAGAUAAUCAUUUCCUUGACAAUUACCUGAGACUGUGCAGAUGAAAUGUCUUAAUCCUACACUGUCAUGUUGAGGUAAUUUGGGAGGUAGAAAUAGUGCUCAGUAUGUUAAUAUAAAGUACAAGGAAACUGUACUGACAACAUUAGCGAAUAAAUCAAGCAGACAUAGAAUUCAAGUUUCUCAGUCUGCUCUUUAAUUAUUUACAGUUUACACUCUCAAAACUGGAAAACACAUUGACUUCUCCACUUAUCUUUUUGAACGAAUUGUCAUACCUGGCAUGGUAUAAAAUGUAUAGAAAAGAAUAGAGCAACCUGGAAAAGUCAGUUACGCUUGUGAGUAGGAUGUCAACAACAACUGUGUAUACUAAGGUGUGAAAACCGUCCUGAGUCUGGCUUCUUGAAAUGUUGAAAUCACCAGGCCAUCAUUAGAAUUUUCUGCUUUUUGUCCACUGGGACAGAGGACAAACAUGACAAGCAUUACCUGUGAAGCAUCAAGUCUUCUGAUUUUUCUAUCUGCGUACAGAAGUGAACUGCAUGAGGCUGCAGUGAUCUCUUAGUCAUUUUUUUUAGUUAGUUUUUUGUUUGUUUGUUUGUUUUGCAACAGAAAAAGGUGAACACACCGCAAGACUAGUUGCAUUGAUAAAUUGAUUUCAGUGUGAGGAGGAAAAAAAGUUAUUUAGACAGCUUUUUUUUUUUCUUUUUAAAUCAAUCCCCUUUGAAACUCUCAUGUUUACACUAACUAGAUCUCUUCUUCAGUCAGGAUUACUACUUCUGCCACGGGACUUGGUUUCCCAAUGGUAUGAAGAAAUGAAGAGAAUCAAUAGCAGCUGAAAUUUUGAUUGUAAGUGAAAGCUGAGGGAAUGUUUUAGAACGGGUGGUAAUGUAUUACAAACGUUUUGGUUGUGUUUAUUGAAAAAGUGGGAGAGAGGAUUCCAGGAAUGGAGAAAUUCUCCCAAUAUUUGUUUCAUCACCUUGAUUUGAGCUGUUCCUUAUCCACCCCACAGGUCAGUCCCUAAGAGGUCCUUCCCAGGUCUUUUCAUGAGGGGCUUCCUUGCAGAUGAUAAGUCUCAGUGCAGGGAAUUGCAGCUAAUUAAGUUAUUUGCCAAUUAAUAUAGCCUUAUUCAGCCCCUUUUAGACUGUCCAUGCCACAGCAUGGGAUGGCUGCAGUGCUCUCAGAGAUUCCGACAGCAUUCCCUUUCAUUGGCUUCCUUUGUCCCCUCUAGCUGCCACCAGCUUGUCUAACUCAGCAGUAGUGCUGCGGACAGCUUCACUCACUCCAGUCCUUCUGCCCAGACCUGACCUUCUGUGCUCAAUGCAGGACGAGCUUUAUUUUACAAUCUGCUCUUCCCUGUUCCAUUUCCCCCCAGUAGGGACCCCCUUCCUUCCUGUGGAUGGUAGAUGUCUGCAUGUAGGAGCAGCUGCAUAACCAAGGGGAGGCAUGUGGGCAUCAUCACCUCAUGUCUGUCAGUCCAGUGCUUGUGCCUUGUCACACCUCUCUCACCUGAGCCUGGAAGGGGGCUUUGCUUUUAUUUCAUGGAUUUUGGCACAUGGAAAGCGUGAAUCAGGUUAGUUCUGUGUUAACAGUCAUUUUUUAAAGUGGCUUUCUUGUAUUUAAUGAGCUGGAGCCACAAAGCAUAGCUGGAAUGGCAGGAAACAUUAAGAGAUAUCAAAAUAUCUCCCUUUCAUAUCUUGAUGUUGCAUUCAUUACAGAUUGUAUAAAUCGCUGACCUCAGGAACAAAACAAAUCUGACAUUCAGUCCAUUUUCUUAUAACAUUUGGCUCUUUCUGCCAUAGUGUCACAUCUGUAUUGAUUUUAGUAUUGACCGACUGAAAAGCUGAACGAUCUGAGUUGCAUCAUCAUAAUACGGGCAGUGUGUUGAUAAUAGGGCUAGAUAUGCUUUCAGAAAUAAAAUGUAUGCUGUGAAAAAGUAUAUUUUUGGACACUUACCUGUGCUUAUGUGCAUUAAUGACUUUGCAGUGGUCACAGAAAGUGAGAAAAAGCACAUAAUUAAAUGUCUGCCUCAGCAGGAAAAAGUCACAGGCCCAGCUGAAUAGAACCUAAUGCAUUAGCUGAGGCUCAGCUGGGCAUUUUGAAAGGAAAGGACUACAGGGAGAUGAGCAAUGGUAUGGGAAGGGAGAGGACAGCAACUGAAAUCCUCUCAGAAAGAAGGAAGAGGAGUGAGGAGUAGAUGACCCUCUGGUGUGGGCUGAAUUUUGUUUUACCUUUUCAUUCUGAAUUGCUGUAGUUUGUACCUUUCAUUAAGAUGUACAGCUCUUGCUGUUAUCUGGGUAGGAGGAAACCAAAGUGUUCAUGAUUUCUGAAAAUGUGAUUAGAGCCUUGUUUGUCAGGCUAUGGAGGGUAAAAGUUCAAAGGAGGGUAUAGUAACAGAGGAAGCCAGGUGAACAGAUGCAUUGGACUACUGGAAGGAUAGCAAAAGAUAAGAGUGCAGGGGAGGUUACUGAAACCUUUUGUAACAGCAAAUUGACUGCAGUUGAGAUGUAAAUGGUCAUGAUCAACGUUAACCAAAAGAGAAACAAUUCCUGUAACAGACACGAAAAGUGACUUUAGAAAUGGGCAAAUCAACACGGGAGAGCAGGAGAUCUCAAGUAGGAGGGAGUGAACUUUUUGGACACUUUGUCAGUUGAUGAUGAAAAUGCUCUUCGUUAGGCACGGCACUCAGCUAUACACUGAAGCCUGCACUGUAAGUAUUAAGAAUACUAGAUGUGUAAUGAAAUACUGUUCCUUUCAGAAUGUUAAGAGCAUUUUGGGGAUGUGACGACUUGUUAGGACGAGCUGAAUAGUUGUGCUGACAUUCCAACUUUGACUAGUAUCAGGGGCAGCAGCAGCAGAGACAAGGGUGUGCCCAGAAGGUGUAUGAGUAAUGAUCCCAAGCCCUAAAUGCCCCAUCUCGGGCAUAGAGGUGGAAACAUCCCCAUGAUAAAAACCACUAUAGCCUUAACUUAGCUUCAUUCCCUAACCCUGAAACAUGGAGCAGCUGGGGAGGGCAGGCAAUGGGGUGUGGGCAGUGAGCAUGCAUGCUUUUUGUAGACACUGGUGGACGAGGGAAUGCUCACUGCCUUUUCUCAAAAGGUUAUGAGGAGGAAGAAACCAUGAUAUAGGGGUUACCAGAGGUGACAGUGAACGAGUUGUUUAAACCUCAGUGCUAUUAACACAACACGCAAAGGGUAAAGAUGUUGUGUGUCUGCCUGACUCUGGCACAGAUGUAGAUGCCUUUUUCAGCCCCAGUAAUACAGACCUCACCUGUCCUCCCACACACACACAGGAGUUUUUGCCACCCUGAGCUCUGCCACAUGCUGACCUGCAGAUCUGCUCUGGUGGUUGUGUCAGCUGUGAGAGAAGCACCCUCAGUCCAUGACAGCUCUUGCUCAUGUUGCUCUAAUGUAGUAAUAACCAGCUAACUUUGUUUAACUUGCAUGCCCCAUAAAGAUCUCAGUCUGGGAUCUCAAAAACCUUUACAGCUGCUUGGUAGCUGUAUAGAAAUUAUUACUUGGAGGAAAUAUACUUAAUCGUAAAGCACAGAAGAGCAUACAAACUAAUGAAGUACACAUUGACUUCUGUACUAUAAUGGCACUCGGAUGGCAAUGCUGUGAUGCUCUCCCCAGGUCCCACUGGGCAGGGUACCCAUGUGGCUGCAGACAUGGGGAGGCACAGUGAGCACAGGGCAUUGCUUGGCUGCAGCUACACCUUAAGUACGCCUUGCUAAAAACAGUGCAGAUGAAGACUCUGAGGGUUCUUUGUCCUACUUACCUUUUUGGCAAGCAAAAGCUUAACUUUCUUGAAUGAUAUCAUAAGUCUGGGCUGAUUUACGAGGAGAUUUUUCAGAAGGCUGUGAAUUCUGGUGGUUUUAUUGCGGGACACAAACCAGGUCUCAGAGAUUACAAGUGGAAGAAUCUAACAAGACAUGUUUUUCUGUUAUUGACUUCGUCAAGAGAAUGCAUUUGUUUUAUGAUAUUUUCCAUUCCUUUUCCCAUCUUCGUCACAGGAAUGGAUUGAAUAUUUCAUCUUCAGUAGAUUGUCUCACAGUGUGUUUUUACAAUUUCCUUCAGCACUCCCAGUUCUAACUGGACGUUACCUCUCUUUCUCCACAGCUGGGUGAUGUUGUAAAUGGGGAAGCUGGAGCAUUCCUGAAAGGGUGAGUCCUUCAAAAUGUAGAAUACUGAAAAGGUCAAAGCAAUUGUAUACAGCCCUGUAUAGACUCGGCACAUUCAGCAGUUAUUAACAUUCUGACGCUUUCCUCUACAGCAAAACCUGAAAUGGGGAAUGAAAACAAUCUCUUCUAAUGGCAAAUAUAGCGAGUGGGAUGGAGAAAGGAAAUAAAUACUCAACCUGUUCCUGGAAUUGUUUUCAGAUUUUCAUCGUUUUGCGCUUAAUCUUAACUGACGAAGUGGUAUGUACUACUGGUGUCUAAGUGCUAUUCUCAGCUUACUAUCUGAAUUAUGCUUUCAGAGCGUGUGAUCAAAAAUCAAACUGCAAUUUGAGCUCUUUUUUCAAGUAUAUUACUGAACCAGGAAGAAAAAAGCCCCACAAAUACUUAUAUUCAUUAACACCCAGUAGUUU
This 7186-nucleotide long non-coding RNA is filed under the name Gallus gallus (chicken). Lineage: Eukaryota; Metazoa; Chordata; Aves; Galliformes; Phasianidae. The record is from RNAcentral.